CCGUGGUUCCUCUAACCCUAACCCAUCUGGCUGUGGGCGCCGUGCUUUUGCUCCCCGCGCGCUGUUUUUCUCGCUGGCUUUCAGCGGGCAGAAAAGCGUCGGCCUACCGCCGUCCACCAGGCAUUCUGAACAUUGGAAUUUUUAAUGCCUAUGG
Molecule: small RNA, 154 nt
Filed under: Nannospalax galili (Upper Galilee mountains blind mole rat)
Lineage: Eukaryota; Metazoa; Chordata; Mammalia; Rodentia; Spalacidae
Description: Vertebrate telomerase RNA (ENSNGAG00000005898.1)
Rfam family: Vertebrate telomerase RNA
About the family: Telomerase is a ribonucleoprotein reverse transcriptase that synthesises telomeric DNA. Telomerase RNAs differ greatly in sequence and structure between vertebrates, ciliates and yeasts, but they share a 5' pseudoknot structure close to the template sequence.
Source: RNAcentral